RNAcentral lists this ribosomal RNA (254 nucleotides) under uncultured bacterium. RNAcentral's name for it is "partial 16S ribosomal RNA". It matches the Rfam family "Bacterial small subunit ribosomal RNA", at positions 524 to 776 of the family's 1533-position model. The record is from RNAcentral.
UACAGAGGUGGCAAGCGUUGUUCGGAAUUACUGGGCGUAAAGGGCGCGUAGGCGGCCUUCUAAGUCAGACGUGAAAUCCCCCGGCUUAACCUGGGAACUGCGUCUGAUACUGGGAGGCUUGAGUAUGGGAGAGGGAUGUAGAAUUCCAGGUGUAGCGGUGAAAUGCGUAGAUAUGCGGAGGAACACCGAUGGCGAAGGCAAUCCCCCUGGGCCUGCACUGACGCUCAUGCACGAAAGCGUGGGGAGCAAACAGG